CACUAGGGGGAUACUCAUGAAAUGAUCGUAGUGCCAUCUUUCAUUCAUGUCAUUCUAAAGUGCCACCUAUCUACUUUCCCUAAUACAAUCCUUUUGUAUGUAUGCGUGCGCUAAGUAGGGAAGUUCCGAUGGUUGUUAGUGAAACAAAGAGUAUUUUUCUAUUAGCGAUGAAAUGCACAACACUCUACAUGAACAUCACCACAAGUCGAAAUAUUUGUUGAUUGGCUUUCCAUAAUCAGAAGAAAAAAUUCUAACAGACACAUUCAUGAUAAAGUGAGGUUGCGAUUUGUCAGAGCUCUUUAAUAUUUUGAACAAAACAUUGCAACUGACAUUUUUUUAGUAACCGAAAUACUACAAAUUAAAGUACUUAGCUUUGUUUUACUGUGAAGCUUAGAAAACUGAAAUCAAAAUUCUAAAGUUGAUCCGAGAAUGAAAAAUCUACCAGUAGAGGGGCCUGUGAACUGGAGUGUUAUUGUUAUGGAGAAAUCAUGACCUUUUUGCUUCUGCUACAGGAAUUGUAAGAUUGUUCUUUUGGAUGUGACUUGAGAAAUUUUUAAUGUAUUUUUAAUAUUGGAACAGAGACACUCGAAUUUGGUGGACUAAACAUGUAAUGUUUGAUUGCAAGUUUGUAUGAAGAAUUGUUUACAUAGUUCCAUUUUUUCCUUUCUCAAAAUAUGAAAUUUUGUAGUCAUGCCUUUGAUUAUUAAUUUGUGAUUAUUUUGAUGAAUUAUAAAUCAGAUAGAAUAAAAUAAAAAAAACUGUAAAUGUAUUUUUUAAAUUUCAACAUGUUUAUGCAUAUCAAGACAUUAUUACAAGAAUAAUUAUUCAUUUAGAAAUGAAGAUACUUUACAAAAUUGUUCAUCGUCCAUUGCUUAUCCAAGAUGAAACAAAAAUAUGAAAUAAUAUUAACUGUUGAGUAGCUUUAUAUUUUUGAUCUAAUGGCAUUGUGGAGAAAUGAUUAAAAAUUAAAUUAUUGUUAGAAGGUGCCUGUAUAAAUUGAA
This is a long non-coding RNA of Argiope bruennichi, 1001 nucleotides long. RefSeq lists it as uncharacterized. The record is from RefSeq and is a predicted model, not a curated record. The transcript has 5 exons. Lineage: Eukaryota; Metazoa; Arthropoda; Arachnida; Araneae; Araneidae.